UUCUAUUUUAUCGAACUAAGAAUCUUGACUUCAUAUUCCUUCUAUAUUAUUUAGUAUCUUGAUUUUUUGCUUUUUUUGUGAAUU
This 84-nucleotide transfer RNA is filed under the name Pleroma pereirae. RNAcentral describes it as "Tibouchina pereirae tRNA-Tyr". The record is from RNAcentral. Lineage: Eukaryota; Viridiplantae; Streptophyta; Magnoliopsida; Myrtales; Melastomataceae.